CACAGGGUGCUCGGAUGUUUGGUGAUACGUUAUUCUGGGUAUAUCUGUGAGGAUGUUUCUGGAUGAGAUUAACAUUUAAAUUACUAGACAGAGUGAAGCAGUUUGUCCUCUUCAGUGUGGGUGGAUCUCACCCAAUCAAUCCACUGAAGGCCUUGCGAGAACAAAAGGCUGGCUAAGGUAGAAAUCUCUCUGCAUCCUCAAGCUGAGAUAUGGAUCGUCUACCUUCUGAUGGAAACUUACACCAUCAGUUUUCCUGAUUUGAAGGCCUUCAGACUUGAACUGGAACUUUACCAUUGCUCUCCUGGGUCCCCACCUUGUCAACUGCUGAUCUGGGCCUCUCAGCCUCCAUAAUCACAUGAGCCAAUUCUUUAUGAUAAGUCUCUGUCUCUCUCCCUCUCUCUCCCUCUCCCUCUCUCCCUUUCUCUCUCUCUCCUUCUCCCUCUCUCCAUAUAUAUAUAUAUAUAUAUAUAUCCUAUUGGUUCUGUUUCUCUGGAGAACCCAGAAUAACACACUAGAUAUAUGCACUAGAGUAAUGCCAAAUUACUCUCCAAAGGAGCAUCGUACCAAUUUAUUGGUCUAUGUGCAUGAGAAUUCUUAUUUUUCUACAUCCUCAUUGGCAUUCAGGCUCCCUCCUCUGGGAAGUAUUUGUUUUAUACUUUUUAAAAAAAAAUAGUUUGUUCAUUUCUUAUUAUGCAUACAAAUUUAUACAUGAAUCUUAAACUCAUUUUAUAUGUCUUAAAUACUUACGUACUUUAUAUAGCUUGAAUUUUAUGUAUGUGUGUGUGUGUGUAUAUAUAUAUAUAUCUUAAGUUAUAUAUGUGUGUAUAUAUAUACCUACAUGUAUAUGUCUUAACUACUAAUUCUUUGCGAUAUCUCCUAACACUUUUAUUUAUUUAUUUACUUAUUUAUUUAUUUAUUUAUUUAUUUAUUUUAGAGAGAGAGAGAGAGAAAGAGAGCUGCGAGAUGGGCAGAGGGAGAGGGAGAGAGACAGUCCCAAGCAGGUUCCACACCCAGCAUGGGGCCUGGUGCAGGGGCUCCAUCUGACGACCCUGAGAUCGUGGCUUGAGCUGAAAUCAAGAGUUGGACGCCUAACCGACUGAGCCACCCAGAUGAGAAAACUCAGAACAGUCAAGAUUAAGUAAUAACCCCCAACUCUGUCACUGUACAGAGUGACAAAGUGGAGCUCUGUACCACGGUCCCUCUGAUUCUCAGCCCUUGCCUUCUGUGCCUUUCCACGAGCCCUGAGGUGAAGAUGGGGAACAGAAGAUGCCAUUGUCCACGGAGAAGCCGAUGGAUGGCUGUGCACAUGGAGUGAUGGAGUUCUCUCAAGUCAAGAGGAUAUUUUUCUUCCCAUCUUCCCUUUGAGCAGAUUAUACCAACAGGUGACCAAACCAAGGGCCUAACCAAAGUCAGCCCUCGGUUCUUUCCUACUUCUCUUUGUCUACCCUCUGUCAGGCCCUUGCAAUUUUUGUCAGUCUGUCUCUGUGACUUGAAUCAGCUCCUUUCCAGACUCCGCUUGCAAAUCCCAGGGCACCUGUCACAUGGUCAUGGAGUGCUAAAGAGUGCAUGUAAAUAACACACUGGAAUCUGCAGCAGUUUUUGAUCCCUCCAAAGUCUCUAGAAAGAAAAAAUUCCUUUUGACCAUGUACAUCUGGACCCCACAUGGGCCGAAGGAAUGAUGCCCAUAGUUCAGACCUAUCCGGUGUGAAAUGCAACUAAAGAAAUAAUGUAGCCCCAAGACUGAACUGGACUCAGUCCUUAGCUUGCCCCAGCUUAGCUUGAGUAGGGGGACUUGGCCCACAGCAGUGAUUGUUCCCCUUGGAGGUGGGGGUCAGUGCCACACCCUCCCCCUCCUAAGGGGAGAACGCCAAUACUCUUCAGCAUCGCCAUCCAACUGUCCCUCUCACAACGGCACCUCUGGCGGUGGCUCAGUGUGGUCACCCGUAUGCAGCGACGCUGACUGCGGUCCGCUACAAUCACCAGAGGAAUCUGGUGCUGGCGAGAGAUCCUAGAGGGGUGGAACAGGAGGAGUGGAGUGGAAAGCGGGGCAUCUGGGAACCCUGCUCUUUUACCUCAUGGCCAUCCGAGCAGUUUUCAACCCCAGGUCCUAGCUGAGAAUCACCCUGGCCUGCUGCAGAAAGCUGUGGAUAAAGAGCCUGAGACCCAGCAGGGGGGUGAGAAAGGAAAGACACUUUAACAACGCCACGCCAGGCUGUGUCUGUGUCUACGCAACGGGGAAUAUGCGGGGUCACCUAAUGAUUUGGGCAGUGGGGCUUCAGAAGGGGCUGAAAUUCUGCCCCACGCCUUUCACUGACUCCGUACAAGAAAGUUCACCCAAGGGAAAUGUUUCAGAUUGGGUCAGUUGUCAAUAAAGAGAUGGGGGCGCCUCGGUGGCUCAGUCAGUGGAGCGUCCAGCUUCAGUUCGGGUCACGAGCUCACAGUCCGUGGGUUGGAGCCCUGUGUUGGGCUCUGUGCUGACAGCUCGGAGCCUGGAGCCUGCUUCGGAUUUUGUGUCUCCCUGUCUUGUACCUCCCCUGCUUGUUCUAUCUCUGUCUCAAAAAUAAAUAAAAAAACAUGAAAAAUAAAAAAAAGAAAAAAGGAGAGAUAAAGAUGAUCAGAUAAAUGAGCUGUGCUGCGAGGAGGUCAGACCAGGAUGGGUGAUCAUCCGGGAGUGCUUACAGGCUCAUUUGCUUUCCUUUCAUGUUUGGGGGGUUGGGGGAGGGGGGAGGCGUUUAGCCCAGUAGACUAUACAGAAAGUGACAAGCAUCACAGAGACUCUCUGAGGUGAACAGAGAAAGUGACUUCAAUUUCAAGGGGGGGAAAGCUGAGAGACUGGCUCUCUUCCUGUCUUAACUCUUUGAUGUAAACCUAUAUCCGAUUAGAACUCAAACUCUUUCUUCUUCCAGGCAGGUGGGAGGGAAAGGACCUUUAAUUGUUAACAAACUGAGGAGACUGACGGAGGCCCACGGUGUGUAAACCCUUGAAUCUAAUGAUGGAUAUUCGCUGUCAUGGGAAGAUGCUUCUGCGUUUUUCCUUGGGCAUUUUUGUUUUCAGGUUGAAUUGGUUUCCCACUACCUUAAGAAAAGAAACCUUAAAACCACGCAGGCUCCUAGUUUGAGACAUCCUCAAUUGCUAAUUUAACUUACAGAGUUGGAAACUAACCCAGCAAAAGCCUGGGGUUCUCUACUAAUCCUAAUUGUUGAUAGAGAACCAGUAAGCGGCAAUGAGGCAGGAAGCUGUGGAUGGGCUGUGACAUCCCAGGGGGAUAUCACCUCCUCUGCCAAAUAUUUAGAGCAAAAACCAGCCAUCGAUUGCAGUGUGAUGUAACCACGUUCGAAGAGCUUUGGACAGAUGGCCGAGAUGUCUCUGUGUACGUCGUAACCCUCGCCCUGCCAAAUAUAUUUAUUUGCUAUCAGACUAAACAUAUUGAGGAAAAUAUUCAUUUUCUUCUUUCUCUCCAAGACGCUUCUUUUUUUACCCCGGUUUGUCCUGAGUUUUAGUGACAGGAACCACAAUGAUGAAAAGUCCUCAAAAGUAGCUUUUAAACUUACCACUACACCCUAUAAGCCAACCAAUAUAAAGCAAGAGGGCACCAGAGCAUUGUGAACCAUGGCAAGAUAAUCUCGGAAACAGAUCCUGCUCAAGCUCAAAGUCAAUACAGAUGGAGCUUUUAAAAAUAAAGUGGUCUGGGAAGUAGAAUGAUCUUAGUUACCCAACUCCAAAGCAAAAGGCAUGCUCGGGCCCAAAUUUUAAAAAUAGAGAACGGUCCAAGAAUAAUAACAAUCUCUUGCUGGGAAAGACUUUUUGUCUUGCCUCGGUCAGAAAAAAAUAGAAUGUAAAGCUUUUCUCAGUCUCUCCAGCCCCACAGUGGGAGCCCUGGGUCUUUACCAGUCCAUCCCUGAACCAUGAUUGGGUGUGAAUGGUUGUGAGUAAAUUAUGCCAGGAGGGGACUCUGGGUAGGUGGACACCCUGAUGCAGUAGAGGGUAGAUCAAAGUCAAGGGCACAGGGAUGGGUUAAAACCAUGUGAAUAGGAUCCUUUCCAGAACUACUUACUUGAACAACCUGCUGUGUUUUGGCGAUCCGUCUUUCCAUUCCCGCCGAGGGCCAUUGUCUCCUUAUCCAUCCAUGAGGUCUGACUUAUCCUACAAAACUCAGCUCAGUGAGGGCUUUCUCUGGGAUUCCCUCCCUUUUUCCUGGUUGAAUCAACAACCACUCUUUCCUUUGUGCAUCCCGCCUCUGUGUCAGCCUCUGUCUCCUGGGGUGGAAUUCAUGUAGACUCAUUGUCUUGCACCCUCGCCUGUGAGUUCUUUGAGUGCAGAGACCUUUUCCUUAUUGUGUGUGUGUCCCACAGAAUGUCAAACACAGUGAGUGUUUACUGAAUUGGAUUGGAUUAGAAUGGAGUUGAAUUGAGAACUAAUCCCCCUUUUCAGUGGCUUCCAUAAAAGAAAUGCUACAGUGGGAUGUUGAUGAUGAAGUCGUUUACCUGAGUUGGGUCAGGGAGUGAGAUGUCUUCUGGCUACGUGUAAAACCUUAAAGUAAAGUGACCUCUCUCCUUUCAACCAACUGAGACAUCAUAUGACCAUAUAUUCCAAACUGGCAGGUGAUGGUUCAAAAGUGACUGGAAAUAAGGCCCAUGGACACUUCAAGGUCAAACCCUUGAUAAAUGUGAGAUUCAAUUAAUAGUAUGUUAAAGAUUUCGUUUUUAACUUUAUCCAUACCUCGUAAGGAGCUUGGUGAGGAAUCUCAGAGGUAUUUUAAAAGUUCUAGCUAGUUGCACAAAGUACCCUUUUCGUUCCUAAUGAUCUUUCCUUCAAUGAAAUUGAAAUUGGUUAAAGAGAAGAUCUCAUUCUAUUUCAUGCCUGACCUCUCUGGGGGCUGUUGGAAAUGUUAUGGUUUGAAAGGCUGUGGAACACGGGGACAGUUAAGCAUUCAGACAAUGGAGCCAGACUGACCUGGGUUCAAAUCCUGGAUCUGCCACAAAAAAGUAAAGAAUUUAACCUUUCUGUUUCUUUCUUCAUAAGAUGCAAGUACAUGGAAUAAGUCGUUUAGCCCAGGGCCCAGCAUGUAAGACUUUAAUACUCGGUCAUUAUUGUGACUACUAUCUACUAUGAGAUAUUCCAAUCCAAGCUGAUGAGCUCAGGUAAUUUGCUGAGCAUUUUUAUUCAUCACCACCUCCUGAGUAAACUCUUAUCCUUUUGACUCCUGAUGUAAUACUUGCAUUCCAUAAAUAAUGCAAUUUGGACUUAGCAUCUUCUUUACCGGGCCAGGGAUUUUCUUCACCAUCUUGAAUUUGAUGAUGACAUUUAAUGGGGAGACAAUGAGAGAAGACCAGUUGUUUCACAAAGGGAUUGAAGAGUUACCAUUUGAAAAGAUUUAAUUUAUGCCUUGCCUCGCCAUGGCAUUAACUCAACAGUCAAUACACGCAGCAAAGCAAGUUCAGAAUGAGGUGAUACCAGAUGCCAAAGACACAAGAAUCCUUCUACAUGUCAAGGUCUCCCCACAUAGGUCAUUCUGCCUUGUGUUAAGCCAGUUACAAUAAAGUUAGGGAAUCUCUCUGCUGAUAAUCUGUAGCAAACAUAUAUUUUUAUACAAUAAAGUCUAGAGAGAACAUUCAAGAAGAUGGAAACAAAAGCUAAAUUCCAGAAAGACUUCCCCAGAAAUGAAAAGGUGCAUGGUUAGUGCAAGUGCCCGGUUUUGGGUAAUUAUUUUAAGAGGUAGAUUAUGCUUACUCUGUGCCUGACCUAGACGUGACACAAUAUGAGGGAAA
This is a long non-coding RNA of Acinonyx jubatus (cheetah), 5768 nucleotides long. RefSeq lists it as uncharacterized. Lineage: Eukaryota; Metazoa; Chordata; Mammalia; Carnivora; Felidae. The record is from RefSeq and is a predicted model, not a curated record. The transcript has 3 exons.